GCACUGCUUCCUGCCAGGGAGCCCAGCUACAGGAGGAGCCCUCACCGCAGCAGCUGCAGAAAAUUAAAUUCACGUAAUUUUCUAUCAGAGAGUGACCUUGGUAACCAGAGAAAAACUCUGCACCCUCGUUCUUUGACUGCUUUCUGAAGGCAGACACGAUGUCAGCCCUGGGUGCUGUCCCCCCUUACCAUGAAGGCAGUCCCAGCAGCUGCAGGCGUUCCUGGGCAUCCCUGGGUGCAUCCUGCCUGCACCGGUCGGGGCUGGCAUUGCGCUCCUUGGUGCAUCUUCUAGUAUUAACGUUUCCUGGAUCAGCAUAGCUGUGUGUUCUGUUACAUCUAGCCGCUUGUCUAGGAAGCAGCUCACUGUGGUUACGGCACAGCCAACAAGCAGGUUAAUUAACCCAAAGCACAUUGCCCAGACUGUUCAUUAGCUACAGCCAUCCCUCAUCUCAAAUAAAGCAGAUCUGUUUUCCCAGGUGGGCUGGGAUGCUUUCCAAAGCAGCCUCCGGGGCUUUUUCCAGCCUUCCCUGUCCUCCGGGGGCACAGCUCUGCACGGGGAGACCUGCACUGCCAGGGGAGCUUCAUUUCCUCCAUCGUAAAAGCACAGGAACUGUUCUGGGACAACAAAUAAAACCAGGAAAGGUUUUGGGGCCAUAGGGAGUGUCAUUUGCUCAUCGGUGCCACUGCUGGUCUGGAAGCAGGUUUGUUCCUGUACCGCAGCAGUCUGGUUCGGGCAAUGUGUUUCCCCCCGUGGUGCAGUGGCUGCAGAACCGCGCUGACAUCUCCGUCCUGCUCUCCAUGUCCUCGCGCAGCUCAACAGCUCGUGCUCUCGCCCUCGCUGCAAAAGACUGCUUCGUCUUUUGUCUCCUCCCGAGGAGCAGGCACCGUGUCCAGCUGGCCAGUCCUCUGGAGCAGAGGUGCCCUCCUUACCACGGCAUACAACAGACGUGUCAGAAAGCCACAGCACUGCAUCUGCAGCUCUAAAACGUAUUACAGGGGCAAGGAUGGAGUGGCAGUGCUGUUUCCUGUGCUGUACCUGCCACAGCCUGAUGUAGGGUGA
RNAcentral lists this long non-coding RNA (1059 nucleotides) under Anser cygnoides (Swan goose). RNAcentral's name for it is "lncRNA (ENSACDG00005019170.1)". Lineage: Eukaryota; Metazoa; Chordata; Aves; Anseriformes; Anatidae. The record is from RNAcentral.